GUGGGUCCCAAUUCCCAAACCGUGGCGCCAUGGCUCUCCUUACUGAGUCACAGGCACUCUGAAGAUGGAUAACAAUAACAACUAACUAUCACACAAAUACACUCUCUGUCUGAGAGAGAGAGAGAUGGCGAUGGCAAUGGCGCUUCGGAGGCUCUCAUCUUCCAUAGACAAACCUCUCCGCCCUCUCUUCAAUGCCACUUCCGUUUGCUACAAGUCAUCGUUGCCUGAUGAAGCUGUCUACGACAAAGAGAGACCAGGAGUUACAUGGCCAAAGCAAUUGAAUGCCCCGCUUGAGGUUGUUGAUCCUCAGAUUGCUGAUAUAAUUGAGCUCGAAAAAGCUAGGCAAUGGAAGGGGCUUGAACUGAUACCGUCAGAGAAUUUCACUUCAGUCUCUGUAAUGCAAGCUGUUGGCUCAGUCAUGACUAACAAGUACAGUGAAGGAUAUCCUGGUGCAAGAUAUUAUGGUGGAAAUGAGUACAUUGAUAUGGCAGAAAGACUAUGUCAGAAGCGUGCCCUCGAGGCAUUCAGGUUGGAUCCAGCUAAAUGGGGAGUGAACGUUCAGCCUCUAUCUGGGUCUCCUUCAAAUUUUCAAGUUUAUACUGCAUUGCUAAAACCUCAUGACAGAAUCAUGGCACUUGAUCUUCCUCAUGGUGGACAUCUUUCUCAUGGAUACCAGACUGACACCAAAAAGAUUUCUGCAGUCUCGAUUUUUUUUGAGACAAUGCCAUAUAGAUUGAAUGAAAGCACAGGAUACAUUGACUAUGAUCAGAUGGAAAACAUGGCUAAACUCUUCAGGCCAAAGUUAAUUGUUGCUGGAGCCAGUGCUUAUGCACGCCUGUAUGAUUAUGCACGUGUACGCAAGGUGUGCGACAAACAGAAAGCUAUACUGUUGGCAGAUAUGGCACACAUCAGUGGAUUGGUUGCAGCUGGUGUUAUCCCAUCACCUUUUGAUUAUGCAGAUGUAGUGACUACCACCACUCACAAGUCACUUCGUGGCCCCCGUGGAGCUAUGAUAUUCUUCAGGAAGGGAGUUAAAGAAACUAACAAACAAGGACAGGAGGUGUUGUAUGACUACGAGGACCGAAUCAACCAAGCUGUCUUCCCAGGACUGCAAGGUGGUCCGCACAACCACACCAUUACUGGUUUGGCUGUUGCAUUGAAGCAGGCUACAACUCCAGAGUAUAGGGCAUAUCAAGAGCAAGUUCUCAGCAAUUGUUCAAAAUUUGCACAGGCUCUUAGUGAGAGGGGCUAUGAGCUGGUUUCCGGUGGAACUGAGAAUCAUCUUGUUUUGGUGAAUCUUAAGAACAAGGGAAUUGAUGGCUCCAGAGUUGAGAAGGUGUUGGAAGCUGUUCAUAUUGCAGCAAAUAAAAACACUGUUCCUGGAGAUGUCUCUGCUAUGGUUCCUGGUGGCAUCAGGAUGGGAACGCCUGCCCUUACUUCUAGGGGAUUUGUUGAGGAGGAUUUUGUCAAGGUAGCGGAGUUUUUUGAUGCAGCAGUAAAAUUGGCUGUGAAGAUAAAGGCAGAGAGCAAAGGAACGAAAUUGAAGGACUUUAUGGCCACAAUCGAGUCAUCUUCAACCUUUCAGUCAGAGAUUGCAAAGCUCCGCCACAAUGUUGAGGAGUAUGCAAAGCAAUUUCCAACCAUUGGUUUCGAUAAAGCAACCAUGAAAUACAAAGAUUGAGGAGAGAAAAUGUUCCAAUAGGUAUGCAUUUUGACGAUGUAACCAUGUUUUCAGGUCACACCGUGGUCUUAUUGGCAUGCAAUUCAAGAUGAUCAGUUUCUUGAUUCAUGUUACAGGACGAUAAGAGGAUAACAUAUAAAAUUUAGUCUAUGUAUGAAUCUAGAAAAACUUGAUCAUUAUCUUCUUGAAAUGUAUCAAUGCAUAUCAUAUGUAAUAAAGGCUUCAACUACAAAAUUUCCAGAAUAGAUGCUUGUUGACACCUCCGAUUGCAGGAAAUAAAUAUAUCUCUUAUAAAUCAAA
Molecule: RNA transcript, 1981 nt
Organism: Arachis stenosperma
Lineage: Eukaryota; Viridiplantae; Streptophyta; Magnoliopsida; Fabales; Fabaceae
Gene name: serine hydroxymethyltransferase, mitochondrial
Exons: 16
Source: RefSeq, a predicted model, not a curated record